RNAcentral lists this ribosomal RNA (253 nucleotides) under uncultured bacterium. RNAcentral describes it as "partial 16S ribosomal RNA". It matches the Rfam family "Bacterial small subunit ribosomal RNA", at positions 524 to 776 of the family's 1533-position model. The record is from RNAcentral.
UACGUAGGUGGCAAGCGUUGUCCGGAUUUACUGGGCGUAAAGGGCGUGCAGGCGGUUUUUUAAGUCUAGGGUGAAAGCUCCCGGCUCAACUGGGAGAGGUCCUUGGAUACUGGAGAACUUGAGGGAUGCAGAGGAAAGUGGAAUUCCCGGUGUAGUGGUGAUAUGCGUAGAUAUCGGGAGGAACACCAGUGGCGAAGGCGGCUUUCUGGGCAUUUCCUGACGCUGAGACGCGAAAGCGUGGGGAGCAAACAGG